GUUAAAACUUAGAUGAGAUGUUGGUGUUUUAUGGCUCACGAAUUCGUAAUAACGGAUAUGUAUAGCAGUUCGUGUUAAUGACAUUAAUCAAAACUUAUUGAUGACGUGAUAACAUGGGCGUCGAAUCCAAUAUUAAUCAUGCUGAGGUUUUCUCGACGGGGUAAUGUGUAUAAAUGCAGUUAUAAAAUUAAAAGGGACAAGAUAGUCGACGUGACCCUCAUGUUUCCAUGGCAAUCAGUCAAUUACAUGUUACGCUUAUGAUCGCACCUGCGGUCAUUCGCGCAGUAUCCAUGAUUUUAAGCGGCAUGGAACACUUAAGUUAACUCCUUUGUACGAAAAUAUCAUGUCGUAGCCCUUCAAAUUAGAAAAGUGAGGGUGAUCUUGUCAAUGCUGAGAUUUUCAUGCAUCAGCAGCCACUACAUCUGGAUCAGAUUGAACAAGAAACGGACAGCAAGGGUUGUCAGAUCAGAAACAGAAUGACACACAAACAAGAAACUUCACAGGCAGAUCAACAUGCAAUUUGAAGACGUGUGAUAAAAUACAGAGAGGUGAAGUAGUGUGUCUUUCCAGAUCCCCAAAUCAUUCCCCCUUAAAAGAUGAGCCUGAAGAGGAGAUUUGGGAAGAUGUUGUUUCAUAAGUCGCUUUGCCAGAUCACCUGUGGUCGGGAUGUCUGCUAACAAGAUGCCUUGCUGGUCUGAGCGAGUUUAAAGUCUUACACAGACAGUCCAGAAGUUCUGAAGUCCAUCUUCGAUUUCAUUGGAUGCUUUAAGGUGUAGAAACAUCUCAGCAACCUCAAGAGAAAUUGGAGGCAACUGAGCUAAAUUGCAGAUGUUGUUGCAAAGGGUCUGAAUAUGUAUAAUGUAAAUAUGAUAUGUUUUCUUUUUUCAUACAUUUGCAAAAGUUUCUAAAAUUCUGUUUUUACUUUGUAAAAAUAUCUAAACAAUUACAGUAUCAUGCAACAACAUAAAAUUGAAAGUGAAAGGUGUAUGAUUUCUGAAUGCACUGUAGAUGAUCUUAAUUGAACCUCAUUGUCAUCUUCGUAAACACAACAGCUUUGUUCUUUCAUCAGAUGGCUAUGCAAUAUUUCAAGUCAGACUAUCAAAGAAAACGCAUCUUGCCCAGAUGUGCAAUAACAAGAUUUUUUUGUACAUGGGCUAAAAUGCAGCAUUUUUUGAAAAUUAAAUAUCUUGUUUUUU
Non-coding RNA from Paramisgurnus dabryanus, 1196 nucleotides. The record is from RefSeq and is a predicted model, not a curated record. NCBI's taxonomy places the organism in Eukaryota, Metazoa, Chordata, Actinopteri, Cypriniformes, Cobitidae.